RNAcentral lists this ribosomal RNA (440 nucleotides) under uncultured bacterium. RNAcentral's name for it is "partial 16S ribosomal RNA". It matches the Rfam family "Bacterial small subunit ribosomal RNA", at positions 338 to 795 of the family's 1533-position model. The record is from RNAcentral.
CCUACGGGUGGCAGCAGUGGGGGAUAUUGCACAAUGGGGGAAACCCUGAUGCAGCGACGCCGCGUGUGGGAAGACGGUCCUCUGGAUUGUAAACCACUGUCUCCAGGGACGAAGAUGACGGUACCUGGGGAGGAAGCUCCGGCUAACUACUGGCCAGCAGCCGCGGUAAUACGUGGGGCGCGAGCGUUGUGCGGAAUUACUGGGUGUAAGGGGAGCGUAGGCGGGGCUGCAAGUUGGGGGUCAAAUCGACCGGUUAAACCAGUAGCCGCACUCAAAACUGCAGUUCUUGAGGGAAGUAGAGGGAGGCGGAAUUCCUGGUGUAGCAGUGAAAUGCGUAGAUAUUGGGUGGAACACCAAUGGCGAAGGCGGCCUGCUGGGCUUUUACUGACGCUGAGGCUCGGAAGUGUGGGGAGCAAACAGGAUUAGAUACCCGAGUAGUC